This is a long non-coding RNA of Carassius auratus (goldfish), 803 nucleotides long. The record is from Ensembl. Lineage: Eukaryota; Metazoa; Chordata; Actinopteri; Cypriniformes; Cyprinidae.
UUUGGCGGGAUUUUUUUUGGUAGAACAACAGUUGGAAUCCCGGCGUAAGUCUAAAACUGAUUUGACGAAAAGCUAUGAUCAGAAUGUGUGUGUUGUGCAGUUUAGUGAUCAUGCUGAUACCUGCCUUAGGUUCCUGUGUACAAUAUGAGGUGGUGGAAGUAAUUGAGGGUGGAGAUGCUAUCCUAAACUUCACAGCUUCUAGAUUGACUAUUUUCUACAAAAUGCAUUGUGAAAAUCGGACUAAAAUCACUCAGAUUGGUCGAUACUGUGGCCUUGAUGAUAACUGCAGCACCAGCUCGAGAACACCUGAGGUUUCAAUAGAGACUGGCCGUCUAAUUCUACAUAAUAUCACCUACAACAGAUGCUACAGUGCAAAAACUGUAAAACGCCAAAUUUUAUUUUAUAAUGUUACCGUCAAAGAAUUACACUUUACCAUCAGCACAGAAAUGCCCAUCUUAAAAUUCACUACUGAAACACCCGACUAUUCUUUAACCUCAGACAAUUUCUGCAACAAUACAUCAUCCAAUGCAACCACCACACAUAUUGCUGGUGCUGUUGUGAUCUUGGUGCUCAUUGGUUUGUUCGUUAUCUGGUACAAAUGCACACCAGCAGAGGUACUUGCCAGUGAACGCAAACGUUGCAGGGUGAUGCUGGCUAAAGUGUCUCAUGAAGAAAUCAUCAUGGGUGAGUCCUCACAGGUGUCUUUGGCCCCCUUUACACCCGCCACAAACAGGUUUUUUUAUAUAGUAUCUGAAUUAGCUAGCAUUUGCACCAUGCAUUCCAAUGUGCCUCCACUUGGAUAA